Molecule: ribosomal RNA, 1947 nt
Filed under: metagenome
Description: bacterial LSU rRNA
Rfam family: Bacterial large subunit ribosomal RNA
Source: RNAcentral
UUAAGGAAUGAAGGGCACACAGUGAAUGCCUAGGCACUAAGAGCCGAAGAAGGACGCAACUAACGGCGAAACGCCACGGGGAGCAGUAAGUACGCGACGAUCCGUGGGAAUCCGAAUGGGGAAACCCACCACAUGGAAGAUGUGGUAUCCAAUUUAUUGGAGGGAAAACGCAGGGAACUGAAAUAUCUAAGUACCUGCAGGAAAAGAAAGUAACAACGAUUCUGGUAGUAGUGACGAGCGAACCCGGAAGAGCCAAACACCAUAAUAGUAAAAAAACUUACUGAUUAAGCGAAUGGCGUGGGAAAGCCAACCGAAGAGGGUGAGAGUCCUGUAGUUGAAAAUCAAAGGACUAGGGUGUUAAAAAGUACGGCGAGACACGAGAAAUCUUGUCGGAAGAUGCGAGGACCAUCUCGUAAGGCUAAAUACUCCUUAGUGACCGAUAGUGAACCAGUACCGUGAGGGAAAGGUGAAAAGAACCCCGGGAGGGGAGUGAAAUAGAACCUGAAACUGUGUGCUUACAAGUAGUCAAAGGCCGUUAAUGGCUGAUGGCAUGCCUUUUGUAGAAUGAACCGGCGAGUUACGGUAUCUGGCAAGGUUAAGCUUUAAGGAGCGGAGCCGAAGCGAAAGCGAGUCUGAAUAGGGCGUUAAGUCAGGUGCUGUAGACCCGAAACUGGGUGAGCUAGCCAUGAGCAGAGUGAAGUUUGGGUAAGACCAAAUGGAGGCUCGAACGAGGGAUUGUUAAAAAAAUCUUCGAUGACUUGUGGCUAGGGGUGAAAUUCCAAUCGAACUCAGAGAUAGCUGGUUCUCCCCGAAAUAGCUUUAGGGCUAGCGUCGGCGUAAAGUUUUGUGAAGGUAGAGCACUGAAUGUGUGAUGGCCCCACCUCGGGGUACUGAGCCCAAUCAAACUACGAAUGUCACAAAAUAUAGCCGGCAGUCAGACUGUGGGUGAUAAGGUUCAUGGUCAAAAGGGAAAGAGCCCAGACCGCCAGAUAAGGUCCCAAAAUUGAUGCUAAGUGGAAAAGGAAGUAGGGAUGCACAAACAACUAGGAGGUUGGCUUAGAAGCAGCCAUCCUUUAAAGAGUGCGUAAAAGCUCACUAGUCGAGUGACUCCGCGCCGAAAAUGUACCGGGGCUAAGCAUCAUACCGAAUCUGCGGAUUUAAAGAAAUUUAAGUGGUAGGGGAGCGUUCUUAGGGCGGUGAAGCCAGAUCGGAAGGACUGGUGGAGCGCUAAGAAGUGAGAAUGCCGGUGUAAGUAACGAAAAGACAGGCGAGAAUCCUGUCCGUCGAAAACCCAAGGUUUCCAGGGGAAGGUUCGUCCGCCCUGGGUAAGUCGGGGCCUAAGGUGAGGCUGAGAAGCGUAGCCGAUGGAUAGCAGGUAGAGAUUCCUGCACUAGUUAAGUAACUGAUGGAGUGACAGAGCAGGCUAACGUCCGCCCCUUAGUGGAUUGGGGACAAGGGAUCAAGGUUUGUGCGUAGGCAAAUCCGCGCACUAUAAGACUGAGAUCCGGUAGGUAAAGGAUGAUGACGUCAUACUUUCAAGAAAAGCUUCUAGGGUUAAUUAUUUAACUACCCGUACCGUAAACCGACACAGGUGGGAAGGUAGAAUAUACUAAGACGCGCGAGAAAACCCUUGUUAAGGAACUCGGCAUAAUGACUCCGUAACUUCGGGAUAAGGAGGACUUUUAAUGAAAAAGAAAGUCGCAGAGAAAAGGCCCAAGCGACUGUUUAUCAAAAACACAGGUCUAUGCAAAACCGUAAGGUGAAGUAUAUGGGCUGACGCCUGCCCGGUGCUGGAAGAUUAAGAGGAGAUGUCAUGAAAAGAAGCAUUGAAUUGAAGUCCCAGUAAACGGCGGCCGUAACUAUAACGGUCCUAAGGUAGCGAAAUUCCUUGUCAGGUAAGUUCUGACCCGCACGAAAGGCGUAACGAUUUGGGCACUGUCUCAACAA